GACGAACGCUGGCGGCGUGCUUAACACAUGCAAGUCGAACGGUGAAAGAAGAGCUUGCUCUUCUGGAUCAGUGGCGAACGGGUGAGUAACACGUGAGUAACCUGCCCCAGACUCUGGAAUAAGCGCUGGAAACGGCGGCUAAUACCGGAUACGAGACACAGCUGCAUGGCUACUGUCUGGAAAGUUUUUCGGUCUGGGAUGGACUCGCGGCCUAUCAGCUUGUUGGUGAGGUAACGGCUCACCAAGGCAACGACGGGUAGCCGGCCUGAGAGGGCGACCGGCCACACUGGGACUGAGAUACGGCCCAGACUCCUACGGGAGGCAGCAGUGGGGAAUAUUGCACAAUGGGCGAAAGCCUGAUGCAGCGACGCCGCGUGAGGGAUGACGGCCUUCGGGUUGUAAACCUCUUUCAGCAGGGAAGAAGCGAAAGUGACGGUACCUGCAGAAGAAGCACCGGCUAACUACGUG
This 468-nucleotide ribosomal RNA is filed under the name uncultured bacterium. Its description in RNAcentral is "partial 16S ribosomal RNA". It matches the Rfam family "Bacterial small subunit ribosomal RNA", at positions 28 to 507 of the family's 1533-position model. The record is from RNAcentral.